Long non-coding RNA from Lolium rigidum, 4998 nucleotides. RefSeq lists it as uncharacterized. The transcript is spliced from 2 exons. Lineage: Eukaryota; Viridiplantae; Streptophyta; Magnoliopsida; Poales; Poaceae. The record is from RefSeq and is a predicted model, not a curated record.
CGCACUGUGUGGCUUUUGCUAUUUAUGGUGGACGAGCUGAUCUCAUCAAUUCUUGCGUGGUGGAUUUGGUCCCGUCGCACCGCUUUGACUUGCCGCUUUGUGUCUCUCCCCAAUUCACCGCUCUCCUUCAUCUUUCUCUGGCUUGCCUCGCCAUAUUCCCGUGACCUGAAUUUGUCCUCACACGAGCUCUUCCGUGGCCGAGCUCUGUCGCAUGGCCAGCAGACUUGCGUGUCAGGUCCUCCGACGUCAUGGUCGUCACUGAGAUGCUCACGUGGUCUGCUCCGCCGCCGUUACUCCCCUCCUGGACGCCUGGACGGUGGCCCUUGACCCGGCCGUCUGGUUCGCCGUGUGGGCGUACCACCACGGCCACCAAUGCUCGCGGCUGCUCUGGAUUGGGGGCACUGCGUUGCCUCCGGGCCGCCCCGCCGCCACCAACACCUACGAUGCCGUCGGCAAGGCGUAUUGGCAACAUAGAAAUCCAGCAGCAGGAGCGGGGCAUAGCCGUAUGGACGGAGGGAGUCCUGGUUCCUGCGGAACUCAUGUGGUGCACCGUGAGCGGCUAUUCCUCGGGCCAUGCCACAGGGAUACAGCGGGAGCAGCGGUAGGUUAAGACGGCGAGGUGUCGAGCCGCUGCCAGGGUCUCCUUCGUGGCCGUCGGCCGUGGCCUGCGUCUGGUCUUCCUCGGCGUGGUCACCGUCACCGAGGCGAUCCAGAUGUCCCCCGCUCCCUCUUCCCCACUGUAGCUCCUCUUGGCCGACGCCCCGACCCCGCCGGUCUGGUUCACUGCCGUGAGGCCACCACGCUGCUCUGGCUUCUCUCCCACCGACGUGAGGGCGCCACGCCGCCCCGUCUCCACCCCCGUCGCCGCCUGGCUGAAGCGGCGCCCUUACUCCUCCUCACCGGCGGGACGCCGCAGGUCCUCACCUGCUCCAUCCCACCGGAUUGAGGCUACACCGCUGCAGAAGUUCAUGGGUGGCGCUGCGGUAUCCAUUCAGGCCUGUGUGAGACCUACACAGCCAGCCCUGCUCCUCGCCAUACUCCGUCCUCACAGCCGGGUCUGAUUACAUCUGGAUCUGAUGCAAGUUUGGAAAUUCCCACUAUGGCAGUUGGAUCUAGAUAGCAUGGCAUUAAGCUCGAUAUCAUCAACGACAUGCGCUGUGAGUUGUUACAGUUCUCGGGUGUGUCCACCCAGUUGUUGCCGGCAAAAGGAUUGUCCGUUGGACAUAGAAGAGAAGGUAUCUAAUAUAUGGUUGAUUCAGAAUUAAGAAUUUUCAGGUAUGCUUGAUUUCCCUUCCCUUCAGCACCAAGCUGGGUUUGUCGAGUGUAAUUAUUGUGUAUGUCAGUGAUUGACCGGCAUUAGUUUGGUCUCAAGUGAGCUAUGCAGUUAUCUAAUUAGUUUGUGGUGAUGCAGCCACAAGCGAGACAUGCAAUUAGAUAUUAACAUUAAUAGCGUUCAGUCACUCGAGACCAACCAAAAUAGCUAGAUUUGUUUACUUAUGAGCUCUGUAGUCUCCAUUGGGUCUGGGAAAAAUGUUGCUUUAGAUGAUACCAAUUUCAUCUGUGGUUUGAUCAUACAAGUACCCAGUUUUCAUGCAUGUACAUGUGCCUAUAUCAUGUGUUUGAUGACAACAAGCAUGGACUCAGCUUGUUGGUGGCAAUACCUUUUUGUCGACUGUUGCAAAUCUGGAUUGGGUAAGUUCAGCUGAUGACCUUCUGUAUCAAGUUGUUCUGCAAUGGUUGAUAAUAAAAAAAAUCUUCAGAUUUAAUCAAGAGGUAUAGGUAAAAAAGAAUCAAACUCUAUCUGUUCAUUGUGAGACUUUACUAAUAUAUUUAUAUUACUAAAUCAUGAAUAUCUUGAUUUCUUCUAAGAAUAGUUUCUCCGUACAUUCCAAGUUAUACCUGAUCAAUAGCCUGUCUUCUACCAUGCAUAUAUGUUGUUACUUGUUUUUGGCACAAGUGUCAUGGCAAGAACCACGAUGGUGAUCAUUCUAAGAAGUAGAAUUAUGUCCAGUUAGAUAUAAACUAAUUUUGUACUCAGUUUUAUUUCAGAAGAGUGCAUGUCGCGCUGCUACUCUUUUGCAAGAUACACUUUCCAUUGUUACUCCUUGCCUCCUUGGUAUCACGGUCGUGGGCCAGCCAACAAAAUCUUUACUCAUCCACUUCUUCGAAAUCCCAAGAUUUUGGUUUCUUAUAUACAAUUAUGAUUUAGUUUGUUUAUGGAUAUUGUGUAGAAGAGAACUUACUAUAUUACCCUUAACCGACAAUAUAUUUUUCCCUUCCAUUUUUCUUACAGAUCUUUUGAAGAUGUGUGUGAAUUGUUCUCUAACAAUUUUUAUUUUGAAAUGAGCUCUCAAGCUGUAAAAUUUGGCGUCCUUUGUCCAACAGAGGAGAGUGAGAGUAAGCCCAGAAAUUUAGUUACCUCUUGGUCUCAUGAUCUGUCAGGUCCUUUCAAUUAUCAGCAGCGACGGAGCCACCUCCCGGCAACCCCAGGCUCCGCCCGGGCUCAUCCGGUAAGCAUCCGUUUAGAGCAGUGCUAUUCCUACCUUCAAUGGCAGCAGUUGUUUGGGCAAACUUUCACUAGCGCAGCAUCAGUUAAGGUCUGCCCUGGCUUCCAUGACUGACAAGCUCCGCCACUGAUUAUCAGGUGAGUGAAACUUGGAUCACAUGUUCUGCAUUCGAUUUGUUUCAUGUUGCUCAGAGUAAUCUUACAUGACAGUGCAUUGCUACUUUACCAUCAUUUGAGUCUCCAACAAUUAUUCCAAUAAUUACAUAUCCGAUUUGCCCUAUGGACGAAUAUGCAAGCAUACGUUUCAUGCUUGUUUGAGUAAUAGCAAGGAGAUUCCCCAAAAUCAUGCUAAGAAUUGUGUGUGUUAAUGUGCGUUCACUUUUACGAGCAGUUUGACAUUGUCGGCGGUGGCAUUUCUUUUACAGUCUUGGUGAACAUGGACUUCCUAUGUUUUUUUUUUCAUUGUCUCAAGAUAACCAUCUGUUGGAAAUUUUGUAUAAUUGAUGCAACUAACCCUAACAUUUCAUUUGCAGACAUUUGUACUAACUAUAACCAAGUUAUCUCUAUUUUCAUUUUGUAGCUGGCAUAAUUUAUUUCAAAAGACAUUGAUGAAUUUGUAGUCUAAUUCUUAGGUUUAUCUACAAUGAAGAAAAGAUAAAUAAAUUGUCUUUCCUCCUCCCAUUCCGAGGAAGUUAUGAAAAUUGAUGCAAUUGUAUGAUAUUUGCUCUUCACUAUUUUUCGAGCGUAUAUGCAAUAAAAACUCUCAGUUACUCAUACCAUAGUACUAUAUUCGUUUUUAGAUGAAUACUGAUAUACUCAACUGUUUCCUGAUAGGUGUUUGCAGAAUUCACCAAAGCAGAGAAUCAGAGAGAAAAUGAUGUUUGUUGAAUGUACUAUUGAUUGGCCUUGAAGCUCUGUGGUCAUUUUUUUUUUUGGGGUAAGGCUACUAAUAUAAGAGAAAAAGCUGUGAGUGACAUUUUCACUAAGUUUCAGAACAAGGCCAUACAACAAGGUAGUAUUUGUAUAGAUUGAAGUUCAGCUAAAUAUGUCCAAUUGGUCCAGUAAUUUCCAUUCUCUAUCCAACAUCUGCUAGCAAGUACUUGGCAGUUAUAGUCUUUCUCUUUGCUAAGAUCGUAUGCUAUUCUUUACUGAAGUGGGAGAAAUGCAGUUCUCAGGUAAACUUCGAUGUUGAAUACACUGAUGUUAUAUUUCAAUAAUAAAUAUGCCAAGAUAUGUAUUUUUGUGUCGCGUCAUUAACAUUAAGAUGGCACUGUCAGAUCCAUGCCUCCUCGCACACUCGCCGAGACAUUUUCCAAAUACAUACACAGCUUCAAUGUCCAAACUCAUAUUUUUAGCGCCUCUUUCGCUAAAAUCUUCUUGAUUCUGAGCGCUGGUACUAGAAAGCAUAAUCCAAGUUAGUUUAAGUUUACUAUUUCCAAGUAAUUUAAUCCCGUUAAUUUGAGUACUUAGGAUAUCAUGCUAAUGUUACCACAUAGUUCUCAGUUUAGCACAGGAGGUAACCUGACUUGUUGUUCUUAUUUUUGUGUGCAGAAAGAAGCACGUUGCACAUUAGGAGGUCCCACUCUUUUUUAGGCCAGCGGUGAUUGCAUAGAACUUCCUUUGAGAAACCCGAGCAAACUUCCCUUAGUUUGUGCCUCUUGGUUUUCCUAAUUCUCUUUUGUUCUUUCUGACUUAUAACUGAACUACACGACUUGAAUCUGGUCGGAGGUAGAGCAUGUAGGUGAUGGUACAGAAGUUUCACGACCACGGUAAGCUAGGUUAAGUCCCAUGCUUAAUUUAGCUUCCUUUUCUUCGUAGCAUGGUCAAGCGUUAUCACAUUACCCACCAAGAUUUGAUCUUUGAGUUUUCUCAUCUUUUGACCAUACAAAGUGCACUUAGAUUCAGGUAAUGUAGAAAGUGCAAAAAGAUUCUGCGGCAAAAUUUGUUUUUACCUUGGAUAUGCUAUUUGGGCUGGUCCUUUAGGUGGAUUUUUUUUCCUAAGUACUAAAUCCUUUUGGAAGACAACCUGCUCCAGUUUUGGAGAGGGUAACGACUGGUUCUCCUGCUUCUUUGUCUUAGCAGUUCCCAGUACACAAUCACUUAUUAGUCUUUUUUACUGAUGGUAAAACUAAGUGAGUUUCAUGGGAGCAUAUGUUGGUGUUGUUGCAGGUUCUGCUGCCUCUGUUAGACGAAGGAAUUGGAUAGCUCUUACACAUUCCGCGUUUCUUAAUUUCGGGUGUUUCAAUCUCCACAAUCAGACACAUGUGAUUAUUGUUACAUAGAUAUUAAUGUAUGAUCUUCGAACUGGUAAAGAUUGGAUAGUACUUCUGCCGAUUUCUUAUUCUCGAAGUGGAGAAUAUAUACUAUAUAUAUGUAAUAAUAACUCAAAAGAUCACACAUUAGCUUUCUAAUUUCAUAGGCAGUUCCUAAGAAAUAAACCUACAUCUACGGUCAGACCUUCCAAUCUUCAAUAUUGAGCUUCUUUCAAGUGA